AUGGAUAUCAAAGAAAAGGAGCUCGACCAGGUGAAGUUCUUGUUUGUUGGGUUGCUAACAAAUUGCAGCUGUGUGCUGCACUGCUGGUACCAUUCAUAUCCUAGAAGUUGUAGCUUCCAGCCUUUUAGUAACUACACAAAACUGCCAAAGCUUCACAGCCAUCAUGGAAUCACCACCGGUCCUCCCUUGCUCAAGUCAUGGAGGGGCAGCCGGUACCGGUGGGUGAGGAGAUCCAUGACUGGACAACAUCAUGUUCUGUUUAAACCUAUGCCUCCCCAGGGAAUCACCACCGGUCCUCCUUUUCUCAAGUCAUGGAUGGGCAGCCGGUACCGGUGGGUGAGGAGAUCCAUGACUGGACAGCGCAGACGCCCAGAUGGCGAGGAAGACGAGUCAUCGUCGCUGCCAACCUCCGCCUCGGCCCCCACACCCCUGACGCGAGCUUUGCCUCCUCUGCCGCUGUUGCAUCUUCUCCAGUGCCUCCUCCCCAUCGGACUCGUCUGCCUCCCUGUCAUGCAGAUUAGAGAGAUUCUUUUUAAACUCAACCUGUGUCAUAAGCUACUUGGUUCCUUCUCAUUACUUGGAGGAUGCAUGGAUUGGAGAGAUUAUGGAUGA
RNAcentral lists this ribosomal RNA (612 nucleotides) under Triticum aestivum (bread wheat). RNAcentral describes it as "partial small subunit ribosomal RNA". The record is from RNAcentral. Lineage: Eukaryota; Viridiplantae; Streptophyta; Magnoliopsida; Poales; Poaceae.